This 502-nucleotide ribosomal RNA is filed under the name uncultured bacterium. RNAcentral describes it as "partial 16S ribosomal RNA". It matches the Rfam family "Bacterial small subunit ribosomal RNA", at positions 30 to 523 of the family's 1533-position model. The record is from RNAcentral.
AUUGAACGCUGGCGGCAGGCUUAACACAUGCAAGUCGAGCGGAGAUGAGGUGCUUGCACCUUAUCUUAGCGGCGGACGGGUGAGUAAUGCUUAGGAAUCUGCCUAUUAGUGGGGGACAACAUUCCGAAAGGAAUGCUAAUACCGCAUACGUCCUACGGGAGAAAGCAGGGGAUCUUCGGACCUUGCGCUAAUAGAUGAGCCUAAGUCGGAUGUAGCUAGGUGGUGGGGUAAAGGCCUACCAAGGCGACGAUCUGUAGCGGGUCUGAGAGGAUGAUGCGCCACACUGGGACUGAGACACGGCCCAGACUCCUACGGGAGGCAGCAGUGGGGAAUAUUGGACAAUGGGCGCAAGCCUGAUCCAGCCAUGCCGCGUGUGUGAAGCAGGCCUUAUGGUUGUAAAGCACUUUAAGCGAGGAGGAGGCUACUUUAGUUAAUACCUAGAGAUAGUGGACGUUACUCGCAGAAUAAGCACCGGCUAACUCUGUGCCAGCCGCCGCCGUAA